AUUAAAGGAUGCUCUUUAUUGCUUUGAAUGAUAGUGAGAGAGAGAGAGAUGAGCUGAAGGAUUUGCACUUUCCAUCAAUAAACAUGGCUCUGAUAUGUUUAGUUUUGUCUCUUCUUUUUCUUCCUCCUCCAAAUCAUCCUAUCAACCUGAAAACUAACCAGAAAAUUCAGGACUGUACUCUGCUCUAUGUACAUUGUAGGCCUCUGUUCAAACCCACCCAUAAUGGCACUCCCAGAUGAAGUUUUUUCGCUUCCCGACGACGACAUAAUCAUAAUCGAACACAAACCAUCAUUGUGUCGGUCUCUUCCAAUAAUUUUCUCUUCGAAAGGGGUGAAUCUCGAGAGCAAGAGAGAGAAACAUGAAAACUUUUUUAACCCGAGAAUCCAAUUAUCCCAAAUGAUGCUCCCUUCCCUAAUCCCAUACCUCUUUAAAUUCUGACCACAAAAGGAAUAUAUUCUUAUAAGCCAAGAAAAAGAAUGCCACAAGGAAGAUGAUUCAAAACCAUGGUGAUGAUUUUUCUUUCUUUUCUUUUUUUUGGUGUUUAGUGAUCAUAUGAUAAAAGUUAUCCACUUUCAAUAUUUACCAGAGGCAAUUUUAGAAAUAAUAAUGAGUUGGUAACAUGUGGAUGGGAAAGAAGAUGAUGAUUAUUAAUUUAUCAUUACAAUUUUUGUUGAGUGAUCAAUUUAUAAUGAUGGAAUGGAUGCAGCCUGCAGCAGGGGAAGAAGAAGAAGGAGCCAACAGGUGCAAUUUGUGGGCCUCAUUUUGAAGGGUCACUGUCUUUCUAGGGUGUCCCUCUCACUGUGAUCUAAAGAACCAUUUAUGAACACACCCAAAAUAAAAAUUGUGGUCACCCCCUUUUGCUUUUCUUGGUAAUGGCAAUGCCUAUUGCCAAUGCAUGCCCUUGGGACUACACAAUGUGAGUUUUGGUGAAAGGGUAUCUUUCUUUUUGGUAACGUUUUCGCUUUCUUUGUUUGAGGUCUCGAGGAACAUGUGUAUUUGAUAUCAGUUACUGUCUUUUAUUUGUGGAAACAGCGUUCGUAAUGUUGUAUAGAUUUUCUUUUUAA
Long non-coding RNA from Momordica charantia (bitter melon), 1064 nucleotides. RefSeq lists it as uncharacterized. The record is from RefSeq and is a predicted model, not a curated record. Lineage: Eukaryota; Viridiplantae; Streptophyta; Magnoliopsida; Cucurbitales; Cucurbitaceae.